CUCCCGAGUCAUGUGGAAAUGAUCGUUCUGCAGCCUGUUUCGUGGUCUACAGACUCUAGCUCAAGCUACAGGAUCAAGGCUCUACCCACAGAAGGUUGGCAUCUGAGCUGUGUGUGGUUCUAAGGCUUAGACCACUUGAAGACUUCCCCAUCAUGAGACGCCAGGUCUUUUAUUGGGUGCUGGUUCUUAACUCUGGACUUCUCUACAAGUUUUGUCAAACUAUCAAAUGCAGAGCAAAUUGGAGGCCUGCCAGAGCACCCAGAGGGUGGAAUGAAGCAACAGAGAGGCAUCAGGAAAGGAGAACACAGAGGGAGACAGAGAUGGGAGGCAUAAGCACCACCUACUGGCACAGGCUGUGCACUUGCACGGAUAGGAGAGCUGAAAAGUUGGUCAUGGAUGGAAAUAACUGCUGGUUUCACAAAUGAGGAGGCAGAAAAUUCCACUUAAUUUCACUAUUACAAUGCUCAGCAGAAAAAAAAAAAAAACAACUUGGAUUACUGAGCUACAGAACACCCAGACUCAUAGCACUGGGACUUCCAGUUCUUACCUUACGAGUGGGUCACAACACUGACAAAGGGGACAAUAUCCAUUAGCCAUUAUCUUGCUGCGUAUGAAUAACCCUCUCUCACAAAAAUAAAGAUAAAUAUGUUCUGAAAUAAUUGAUAAAAUUAAA
This 673-nucleotide non-coding RNA is filed under the name Pan troglodytes (chimpanzee). The record is from RNAcentral. Lineage: Eukaryota; Metazoa; Chordata; Mammalia; Primates; Hominidae.